Molecule: ribosomal RNA, 405 nt
Filed under: uncultured bacterium
Lineage: Bacteria
Description: bacterial SSU rRNA
Rfam family: Bacterial small subunit ribosomal RNA
Source: RNAcentral
UGGGGAAUAUUGCACAAUGGAGGAAACUCUGAUGCAGCAACGCCGCGUGAGUGAAGAAGGUCUUCGGAUUGUAAAGCUCUGUUAAUCGGGACGAAAUAUGACGGUACCGAUAGAGGAAGCCACGGCUAACUACGUGCCAGCAGCCGCGGUAAUACGUAGGUGGCGAGCGUUGUCCGGAAUUACUGGGCGUAAAGGAUGCGUAGGUGGAUAAUUAAGUCAGAUGUGAAAAUCCCGGGCUCAACUUGGGAACUGCAUUUGAAACUGGAUAUCUAGAGUGCAGGAGAGGAAAGCGGAAUUCCUAGUGUAGCGGUGAAAUGCGUAGAUAUUAGGAAGAACACCAGUGGCGAAGGCGGCUUUCUGGACUGUAACUGACACUGAGGCAUGAAAGCGUGGGGAGCAAACAGG